AGGGAGUUGACCAAGAUGGCGCCGAGGCAAGUCACGCUCUCCGGCGCUCACUUUUAUUUUUAAAAAACCUUAUCUUAAUUGCCCUCCGGAUGCCAAUUUUUAACAAACGGAAAACAUUUUAAAGACUCUGAACAUUUUUAUAACUCCUGUCGGCUCUGCGAGCUUCAGCUUGUCCCAGCCUGCUCCCUCCCUCCUUAUCAGCUGCCCGGUCAAGGUUGCCAGAGAGGAGAGAACGCUGCUGCCUGAACUGAGAGCAGAGAGACAGAAGAGGUCUAAAGACAGAACUGUGAACUGCUUAUCCGACCAACGGUGCCUGGAGAAGGAGGGUAAGGAGAGAUACGACUGUGAGCUUUGCUUUGAGAUUGGCCCAUAGACACCCAGCUCAGCUGAACACAGAGAAAGAUAAAGCUUGGAGAUUCAGGGUUAACUGAACUGACUGACCCCCGCCCAGCUGGGGGGCUGUGUGAACUAGCUGGGGACAACAUUCCUGCUUAGUUGAAGAGGAAGUGCUGUAGCUGGAAAGACUCUUCAUUUUAAUAAACUCUUUCGAGGAGACCAGCUUUUAUAUUCUCAGAGACUCCUGGUGAAGGCACCCUGAGUCUUUUACAGGAAUUUUUUAAUCUACACAAUAACUCCACAACAGUGUAUCGGAUAGGACCUUCUGGAGGUUUGGAAAACCGGCUUCAGCAAGAUAUCGUUCUGUGCCCUGCCUUAUGUGGUAGGCCUUUGAAAGACUACCUAGAAGGAAUCAGCGAACCAGCCCACAGAAAGUUUCCCUUCUGGGGCUCUUGGAUAUCCUUCGUUCAGUAUGGGGCGGUGGAAGAUGGCCUCUAAAGACUAAGCUAAGACCCGAAAUACAAGGUUAUCAUAGCUGUACAUGCGCUAUAGCCAAACUCCACUAUUAUCCUUUUCCAGCUGCACACAAAUUGCCUAAAUAAGGCAAUUUUAAUUUUAAUGUAGUUUUUAGCCGUUUUAUUACUGCUGUCUCUUUGGCAGCAUUGUUUUAUUAUUAUAUUCUGACUAGGUUGCAGCAUUUGUGAAACAGCGCUGGUCGCAUGAUUGAGGUGAAAACUACAGGCUUAGGACAAUUGCCAAGAUCUAAAAGCAGAGAACUCAAAAUAGAGAAAUAUAUUGAGGCUGUUGAUGAGCACAUCAGGAAGCUGUUGCAGAGAGCAGGUGGGAAUAUAGAUUGAUACCCCCACUUGCCCCCCAAUCUAAGGCAGUCGCACCUGGGGUAAACUGCCCUCUCUCUAUAUCGAGACCACUUUUACCAUGGUUUUUACUAGGAGAAAAUACAAGGAGUUGGGUAUACUGCCUGACUCGGCAAUCAGCCCCUCGGGCCCUGGUAAAAGACAAAGCAAAAUCACAAAUUACUUUCCUAAGAUGGAGGAGGGUAAGAGUCCACAAAAAGAGUUAAUUCUUGAUGAAGUAAUACCCCCCUCUCUUACUGUUCUUGAUUGGACAUCUAAUUUUAAAGAGAUAUACCAAGAUACUGGAAAUAUUAACUCCCCAUGCAGCCUAGCGCAAGAACUAGCUUUAGCCGAGGAACUUCAGGAGGGAAAUACCUCUAUUACUAAGGAACAGCUGCCCACGGAAGAAAUUACAUCAACCCAUCAAAACCAGAUACUUACUCCAAAAUACUCUCAAACAGAAUUGAGUGACGGUCGCCCUUUGGAUUAUUCCCUAGCAAUAAGUUCUGAUUUAGCCAACAUAAAAAUUAUCUAACAAUAACAAAUGGGCUACUGCUGACGUUAGUAGAAAAUUUCACAUCUCAAUUAAAAGAGUUAAAAUUAAAUGAUAUGCCACAAGAACAUAAAACAGUUGAGCUAGCGUCGAUGAACAAACCAGUAAUAAAUAAGAAUCUGCAAAGACAUAACUCAAGGGUAAAAGUGAAGAAAAGUAAAAAUAUUAAAACAACAAGGAUAGCCAAGCAUACCCGCAGUAAUCGAAACAUACAUUGGCAGAAAUUGUUUAAACUUCUUCCCCCAGCCCCAAAUAAAUCGACCACACGGGGCAGCAAAAGAAGGGUAAAAAGAGAGAAACAAAGGUAGUUACACAGCAACCGGCUAAGGAGGACUCGCUAAGGCUGACUCCAGUAGCAAAUGAGAAGGCAGAAGUAACAACUCAGUCCUUGGAUAACCAACUUUUUAAUAAACCUGAUGCUGCGGAAGUAGAGGCCUCUUUCUAUGAAGGCAAUAAAACACUUAGUAAACCGAACAGCGGGGAAGAGGAAGCGUUUAGUAGAGAUGAUACCCCCCUUCAGACCUGGCAAGCCUCCAGUCAGAAAAGAGAUUGGAAUUUGAUCCUAAAUCCCCAAAAACUGGUAUUCACGAACUUCCCGAAGCCUAAGGGCUUCCUUACAGGGAAACAGCGAAUAAUGAACUUUGUAUCUAGUCUAAAUGACAUACUGCCAGGAAUGGUUAAUGCUAAUGAUAUCACCUCGGUGGAAUAUUUACAUUAUGAUGGUCACUCAGUGAGAGCACUGACCACUUUUAGGGAUCAGAACCUGGCCAAGUAUAUUUUUAGGUCAAGACCUGCCUUUUUAAAAGCACGGACAAUAAUACUUAGGUUCUUUGAAAAUAAGGCUCCUUUGAGCCCCCUUUUGAAAACUAAGCAGGCAAAUCUUAGAAAGGGGAAACAACUCUCAAAAUCCUGGCCUGACAAACAGAACCCGCAAUGCCUUGCAAGUAAAGGUGAGGAUUUCUUUACUAUGGAAGAAAAUAUCCUAAUUGACCAAUUCUGGAUGUUCCCACCAUUAAUACAAACUGACAUCUUGGGAAGACUAGAUAAGCUAAGAGAUAAGCUGGCUGAGAGAGCUUCAGGCAACGAGGUUAUCAAGGGGGACCAAAAAAAGACCACAACACGUAACCUUCAGAUCAAAGCGGAGAUUAACUUUCCACCAAGAGAGAAUGUGCCACCCUUCAAGGAGAGUACUCCAUCACCCCCGAAAGAGAAAUAUCCCCAAGGUGACCCCACAAGACGUAUGGGACAAAAUGAGAUACCUAGAUGAAACAGAAUUGGGCCAAAAUCAGGCCAAAACAGACUAUCCACAGAAGGAAUUUAUGCAUAAUAAAGAGCUGGUGUUCACAAACGUGAGCACUUUGCAUCCACCUAUUGAAAUCAUAGAGCGGCUGGAUAGCCCGCCAUUCAAAGACGAUAGGCGUCCGAUACAUAAAGCGACAAACCCUAAAAGUACGUUAGCUAAUAAUUGACAAAGAUUUGAUUGUGAUAAAGCCAAUCUUAAAUUUUUAUCAUGGAACAUUGCUGGUUGGCUCAACAAGGCGACUGACCAAUCAUUUGUCAAUUUUAUUCAAGAUCAUGAUAUAGUCUUCUUGCAAGAGACAUGGCUAACAGGGGAUCUAGAUGUAAAUGGUUUUGCCUCAUUUUCGCUCGCAGGCUCACCAAGCAACAAAGGGGGACGAGUUAAGGGUGGGCUAGGCAUUUUAAUAUCCACAAGGCUGAGAGCAUCUUUCGUCGAGCUGGAGCCUCUGAGCAGUGUGGCCAUGGCAUUAUUGAUGAAAUGCAGAUAUUGCACACUUCUAUUGAUUAAUAUAUAUGCCCCUCCCCAAAGAGGCAAGCAGCUUAUCAAAAAUCUCUGGCAUAGGAUAGAAUCUUAUGUCGAUGAGCUAAUGAAUCAAACUCCUGCUGCGGCAGUGCUGCUGGCUGGGGAUUUAAAUGCCAGAAUUGGCCAAUCAGACGAAGCGUUAUAUGCUCAUUUUCACGACGUACCUCCCAUUUCUGAAGAAGCCCAUUCUAUUCCCCCAAGGCUCUCAAAAGACAAGGGCUGCAAUUACGCAGGCCUAUGCCUUCUACGUUUUCCAACAAUCUGGAUUUGACUGUAUUAAAUGGUCGUGUCGACAGAGAACCCAGUGGGGAAUUUACAUUUAUAUCCAACAUGGGAGCCUCCACUAUCGAUUACGUCCUGGUGUCAUCUAACCUUUUGAGCAGAGCACGGGAAUGUAAAGUGGUGGAGAGGGUUGACAGCGACCAUCUACCGUUCUGUUUAAUACUGGAUGUAAGAAAAGAUUUAUUUUGCUCUGAUAAACUUGUAGCCCCAUGCUUCGAAAACAUGGAGCUAAGAUACUCACGUAUUAAAUGGUCCAGCAAAUUGAGUGAUGAAAUAUCGGAAAGACUUCACUCAGAUAUUUUUCUUGCUAGAAAGGAGAACCUCGUUAAUUCCCCAACUCCUGAGGCCAGAUUAGACAUGUUCCGGGAACUGAUUUCGUCGCUACAACCUUAUCUGACCAACAAAAAACGCCACGGCAAUCUCUACACUUUAAUAAAUCCAAACCUUGGUUUGACCAAGAAUGCAUGGCUAUGAAACGCCUCCUGCUGGAUAAGUACAGGAACUAUAGAACAGCGAACUUACCUUCGCUUCCAUUAGACUGGUUUGAGUCAAAACGCAGUUAUAAAGCUUUGAUUAGCAAGAAAAAGCUCCAGGCACAAAGGGAGGAAUGGCAGUGCCUAGUGGAGGCCUCCCAAAGGAAAGAUUCUGCCACGUUUUGGAAAAUAAUUGCAAAAAGCUGGAGAGACUCCCGAUUGAAAUCGAAUACUCUAUACCCGCUGGAGCAUGGGAGGCCUAUUUCCUCUCAUUAUAUUCAUCAAAUCAACUGGCCCCAGCUCUGCUUCCUGCUUCAAGUGAAUUUGGUAAGGAAUGGCCCCCUGUAACCAUAGAAGAAAUUACUGGACUUAUUCAAGCUCUUAAAUCAGGGAAAGCCCGGGUGCUGACAAUAUCCCACCAGAAAUUCUUAAGGCAAAUGUCGAAUGGUGGGCCCCUGUGCUAGCCGCCUUGUUCACUAGUAUAAAUCAAGCGGCUAUUAUCCCCGAGGACUGGGGUUUAGCCAUCAUCAUUCCAAUAUUUAAGAAAGGAAACAGAACUGAGCCAGCUAACUAUAGACCAAUCAGUCUAUUAAGUAUUAUUAGCAAACUGUAUGCUGCUCAUUUAUGUGAUAAAUUAGUGGAGUGGAUGGAAAGAGAGCAUAUUCUAUCAGAAGCUCAAGCCGGUUUUAGAGCAAAGCGUUCAACUAUAGACCAGGCCCUUACCCUUCAACACCUGGCAGACAAAUAUUCUAGAAAAGGGGGGUCUUUAUAUGCAGCAUUCGUGGAUUUUAAAUCGGCGUUUGAUCUAAUACCAAGGGAUAGACUCUGGGAAAAGCUUGGCGCUACAAACAUAGAUAAACGCUUAUUACGCCUUAUCCGUGGUCUAUACGAAAACACCAGGGUGAGGGUAAGAUGCGAUCGGUCAGGCCAUCUAACUAAAGAAAUUCAAACGCACUAUGGGGUUAAACAAGGAUGUGUCCUCGCGCCAACGCUAUUUAAUUUCUAUAUCAACUCUCUAGCAGUAAAUAUGGCGAAAGAAAAUGCCCACCCUCCCAAACUGGCAGGUAUUCCCAUCCCGGUGCUUCUGUAUGCGGACGACGCAGUCCUACUCUCCUUUUCCUGCAUUGGCCUGAGGAAGCUUUUGAGAUCACUUGCUGACUAUUGUCAAGCGGAACAACUAUCAAUAAAUUACAGCAAAUCUAAAAUUAUGGUGUUUUCAAAAAAGAAGGAAACACAAAUGGAGAAUUAAUGGUCAACCUAUUGACCAGGUAGCAACUUUCAAAUACCUGGGAAUAACUUUUCAGGAAAGGGUCUCGUGGCAUCAACAGAUGAAAACGCCAUUGCCAACGCAGGAAGGGCUAAUAAAGCCCUUACAAGAUUUUUUCACGGGAAAGGGGGUAAAUACGUUCCGGCGGCCUCCCAGGUUUUUGCUGCAAAAAUACUCCCACAACUUACUUAUGGAUCCCAGGUUUGCAGUUUUAAAAAUUUUGCGCCUAUGGAGGCAUUUCAAACAAAAUUCUAUCGGUGUUUAUUGGGGAUCCCCCCCUGUGUAUCUAAUAUAGCUGUCCGCUUAGAAGUUGGACAACCACCCGUUAAUGCGCGGCUGUGGAUUCUAAAGAUACACUACUGGUUAAAACUUAUUUUUCCCCGGCCGGUUUGGCUCCUUUAACACUCUUAGACACCUUUCAUUCCACCUGGAAAGCUUCCCUGUUUGAAAAGAUAAGAAGCUUGGGAUUCUCCCCGCAGAUCUUGAUAGCGGCAGGAUAUGAGAGAGCCAGAAGUCAAGUGCUCCAACGCAUUAGGGACAUAGAGCUGCAAUGUCAUAUGGGCAAAAUGGAUAAACAUGCCAUAAUUAGAGACUUUGGGAGAGGGUUCUCACCCGCAAAUUAUUUGGCUGAUUUACAAAUACCUAAGUACAGACACUCCUUUACCCUGGCCAGAUUUAACGUUCUGCCCUCUGCCCUGCUGCUAGGCAGAUAUGAGGGCAAACCAUAUGAGUCACGUGUUUGCCCGUGUGGCUCAUCGGAAGUGGAAACAAGUCUGCAUGUAUUGCUGCACUGUAGUUACUAUGAGGAUCUACGCUUGACCUUUAUUGCCCCAGUUCUACAAAAGCUUAAAAAUGAACCAGAACUCCAACGUAUGAGAGCCUUGGUAGAAGAUAAGGUUUCUGAAAUUACGAUCAAUGUGGCCAAAUUUUGUGUAGCCGCUAUUAGGCGCAGGAAACAAGAGCUUUCCAAUGUCAUUACGCAGGCGAAGGCAAAUACUUAAUUUUUUAUUUAUGCUGUCUAAUUUUAAAUUGCAGUUAUGUAUUGAAAUUGUCCUUUGUUUUUUCCGGUGUUAUGCUUCGCUGACUAGCUGUACGAGUUAAUCUGGUCUGUGACCGUUUAAUAAAUUUGAUUUGAUUCUGAUCGGCAAGCCCUAGGCUCUGUGGUUUAACCCACAGCGCCACCCACAUCCAAGGGAUGUGAUAGUCCGACUCUAAUCUGCCUUGGUCAGACCACCCCUGGAAGACCAUGUCCAGUUCUGGGCACCACAAUUUAAGAAGGAUGUUGAUAAGCUGGAAGGUGGGCAGAGGAGGGCAACCAAGAUGACCAGAGGUCUGGAAACCAAGCCUGAUGAGGAACAGUUGAUGGAGCUGGGUAUGUUUGGACUGGAAAAGAGGAGACUGAGAGGAGAUAGGAGAGCCAUCUUCAACUAUCUCAAGGGCUGUCACAGGGAAGAGGGAACAAGAUUGUUUUCUCCUGCUCUGGAGGGUAGGACUCGAACCCAUGGCUCCAAGUUACGAGAAAGGAGAUUCCGACUCAGCAUCAGGAAGAACUUUCUGAUGACAAGAGUUGUCCAACAAUGGAAGAGACUCCCUCGAGAGGCAGGGGACUUCUCCUUCCUUGGAGGUUUUUAAGCAGAGGUUGGAUGGCCCUCUGUCAGGGAUGCUUUCGCGGAGAUUCCUGCAUUUCAGUGGGUUGGACUAGAGGACCUUUGGGUCCCUUCCAGCUCUUAAGAUUCUAUGAGGCUCGGGGGUAAGGUUGCCAGCUUUUCAUAACAGUGAAACUUUUCAGCGAACUUUUCUUAACAGUGGCUGGGUAGUUCUGUGGUGCUGGGAUCCGUGAGUUCCCAGGAUUAUUUGGGGGGGGGGUUCGGAGGGGAGAGUGAUAUAAAUGUCUGGGGCGGACAGAGAGGUGGAAGGAACGUCCGUCUCAAAUGCUGAGCAGGACUCUCAGAUCAACGCCUGAGGGCGCCAUUGGCUUGUCCUUUGGCUGAACUUCAUGAAUAACCAGUGACCAUCAUGCUCAGAUCUGCUACAGGAAGGAAGGAAUCAAGGGAGCUAAGAACCUUCGUUCUUGCUCAUAGUAGCACUGGUGGCAAGAGUUGGAAGGGACCUCGUGGGCUCAUCAAGUCCAACCCCACUGCAGCGCAGGAACCACAGCUACAUCUAACUUCAUGCACAAGUCUUUGGAGCAAAAACCCAAACUCUGUACACGGUCAAAUGACAUCAAGGUCGAGAACAGUGCCUGAAAAUUCUCCCACAGUGGCCGCAGUGCUGGAUUUACAUAUAAGCUAAACAAGCUAUAGCUUAGGGCCCCACUCUCUUGGGGGGCCCCCAAAAAAUUCAAAGAAAACAACAACCUGGAUGUACAUUUCC
This 7960-nucleotide long non-coding RNA is filed under the name Podarcis lilfordi (Lilford's wall lizard). Lineage: Eukaryota; Metazoa; Chordata; Lepidosauria; Squamata; Lacertidae. The record is from RNAcentral.